This 387-nucleotide long non-coding RNA is filed under the name Musa acuminata (dwarf banana). Its description in RNAcentral is "long non-coding RNA (MACU_LNC001345)". Lineage: Eukaryota; Viridiplantae; Streptophyta; Magnoliopsida; Zingiberales; Musaceae. The record is from RNAcentral.
GGGAGCUAGUUCUUGCUCCUAUUCAUGGUAACAUCAAUUAAAUAUUUGACUUGGAAGGUCCAUGAUACUAGAUAUCUCCAAUAGUUGUGGCUUUUAACUUCAUGUUGCAGGUGAUAUUUGCUUGCAGGAGCUUCUGUUAGGAGAUGACAAAGAAAUCUUUCCUAAAAGUUAUAUUAUGAAAAGAAUUGGUUUUUAAUAUCAUUAUGAGGCCAUAGAAGUUUUUCUUUAAUGCCAUACAUAUUUGGAGAUGCUCCCAAGCUUUUUGCUGCUAAUGGUUCUAGUUUGAUUAUGGUGUAUUCUUUUCCCCUAAAUUAUUAGUUUUAUUUCAUUAUCAUUCUGUAUGUUGUGUCUUUGUUAUCUCUGCAUUAUACUUCUAUGAUGAUCAAU